Molecule: ribosomal RNA, 471 nt
Filed under: uncultured bacterium
Lineage: Bacteria
Description: bacterial SSU rRNA
Rfam family: Bacterial small subunit ribosomal RNA
Source: RNAcentral
CGCUGGCGGCAUGCUUUACACAUGCAAGUCGAACGGCAGCGCGGGGCAACCUGGCGGCGAGUGGCGAACGGGUGAGUAAUAUAUCGGAACGUACCCAGGAGUGGGGGAUAACGUAGCGAAAGUUACGCUAAUACCGCAUACGACCUAAGGGUGAAAGUGGGGGACGGCCUUGGCCGCCUCAUGCUCAUGGAGCGGCCGAUAUCUGAUUAGCUAGUUGGUGGGGUAAAGGCCCACCAAGGCAACGAUCAGUAGCUGGUCUGAGAGGACGACCAGCCACACUGGAACUGAGACACGGUCCAGACUCCUACGGGAGGCAGCAGUGGGGAAUUUUGGACAAUGGGCGCAAGCCUGAUCCAGCAAUGCCGCGUGAGUGAAGAAGGCCUUCGGGUUGUAAAGCUCUUUUGUCAGGGAAGAAACGACCCCUUCUAAUACAGGGGGUUAAUGACGGUACCUGAAGAAUAAGCACCGGCU